UGCUUAACACAUGCAAGUCGAACGGCAGCAUGACCUAGCUUGCUAGGUUGAUGGCGAGUGGCGAACGGGUGAGUAACGCGUAGGAAUAUGCCUUGAAGACUGGGAUAACUUGGGGAAACUCAAGCUAAUACCGGAUGAUGUCUGAGGACGAAAGCUGGGGACCUUCGGGCCUGGCGCUUUAAGAUUAGCCUGCGUCCGAUUAGCUAGUUGGUGGGGUAAGGGCCUACCAAGGCGACGAUCGGUAGCUGGUCUGAGAGGAUGACCAGCCACACUGGAACUGAGACACGGUCCAGACUCCUACGGGAGGCAGCAGUGGGGAAUAUUGGACAAUGGGGGCAACCCUGAUCCAGCAAUGCCGCGUGUGUGAAGAAGGCCUGAGGGUUGUAAAGCACUUUCAGUGGGGAGGAGGGUUGAUAGGUUAAGAGCUAAUUGAUUGGACGUUACCCACAGAAGAAGCACCGGCUAACUCCGUGCCAGCAGCCGCGGUAAUACGGAGGGUGCAAGCGUUAAUCGGAAUUACUGGG
Molecule: ribosomal RNA, 524 nt
Filed under: Legionella longbeachae
Lineage: Bacteria; Pseudomonadati; Pseudomonadota; Gammaproteobacteria; Legionellales; Legionellaceae
Description: bacterial SSU rRNA
Rfam family: Bacterial small subunit ribosomal RNA
Source: RNAcentral